This 4060-nucleotide long non-coding RNA is filed under the name Anolis carolinensis (green anole). RNAcentral's name for it is "lncRNA (ENSACAG00000036461.1)". The record is from RNAcentral. Lineage: Eukaryota; Metazoa; Chordata; Lepidosauria; Squamata; Anolidae.
GCACUGGGAAAGUGGCAUUAGGCGCGCUAAGGUUAAGAGCAAGGAUGUCUAUGCCCCACACCACUGGAGAAACUAUUCUGUUUAGCUGGUAUUGCGCCACCUGACAUCCACCGAGAAGUAGCAGCCAAUAAUGAAAGGACCAAGGCAGUGACAUCUUUGGCCCAUUCCCUAUUUGGAUAUCAGCCAGCACACCAAUGCCUUACAUCAAGAAAUAGUUUUAUAAGAUCUACAGAGAUACUCGCAGGAACACCUCAGCAAGCGAGAGUCCAGAAGUGGCAGACUAAAACCCGGAACCUCAAUCCGUGGCUGAUACUGAAUGAGAGACUUCCUCCUGGGCACACAGAAGACUGGGCGACUUGGAAAGCGCUGAACAGACUGCGCUCUGACACUACGAGAUGCAGAGCCAACCUCAAGAAAUGGGGCCACAAAGUGAGUCCACGACAUGUGAGUGUGGAGAAGAGCAAUCCACAGACCAUCUAUUACAAUGCAGUCUGAGCCUUGCCACAUGCACAAUGGAGGACCUUCUUACAGCAACACAGAGGCCCUCCAAGUGGUCAACUACUGGUCAAAGGACAUUUAGUAUAAUGUCAAGUUUUUAACUUUGUUUGUGUUUUUAAAUACAUUGCAGCUGUACCCUUGGUUCACUUUUGACACGAUAAAUUGCUGUUGAAAUUAUUUCGUUAUUAUUUUUCCCAGUGCUGUAAUCCCCCAAUGCUAUUUGAUCUUUGCCAUCAAAUAGUUAUACCGCAACAACAAUACACAUAUAAUAAUAUAAAAUAAUAACACAAAAAUAGCAACAACGAUAAGAGCAAAUAUGACUUCUAUUCUCAGUGUUACAGUGUUAUUCCAGUGCUGCUAUUACCGUGUUUCCCCGAAAAUAAGACAGUGUCUUAUAUUAUUUUUUACUCCCAAAGAUGCGCUAGGUCUUGUUUCAGGGGAUGUCUUAUUUUUCCAUGAAGAAGAAUUCACAUUUAUUGUUGAACAAAAAAUGAACAUUUAUUCUAUACUGUACAGUAGUUGUCAUCACAAACCAACAUAACCAAAUCAGACUAACUGUGACUUCUGUCAAGAAUUUCUUGUUACCAUUAUUUUCAUAUACAACUGGUAUGUACAUUUACCAAUCCUGCAUGCUAUGGUGUUUUGUUUGGUGGGUGCCGGGCAUGCUUCCAAACAAAAACUUUGCUAGGUCUUACUUUCGGGGGAGGCCUUAUAUUUAGCAAGUCAGCAAAACCUAUACUAGGUCUUAUUUUUUGGGGAUGUCUUAUUUUAGGGGAAACAGGGUAUUAUUGUUGCUGAUAUUGUUAUUAUUAUUAUCAUCAUCAUCACUAUAAUGACAGAGAACAAGCUCUUUGUCCUGGCUGAUCUGGCCAAAAAGGAUGCAAGUACAAGCAAUACGCUUCACUAAAGUACAAACAAGAAUUUAUAGAGAAAUACAUGACAUUUUAAAGAUGUCUGAGAGCUAUUCAGAUUUUCCACUCCCUCCCAACUGGCUGAAAAAGAGAGGCUAGAAUCUGCGCCCAAAUUAGUCAGGGAUUCCCUUGAUGUCAUAGUCUGCAGGAGGAGAUUCCCUUGGAGGAAGACUGCUAGUGGUUGGCCAGUUUGAAGAGCUCAGCUCAGGAGGAAAUGGUGAUGUGGGUAUGCUGAUGAGCCCUUGAUUAUCUCAAAUGUCCAGUUCUGUGUGAAACAAAGGGCACAAGAUCCAGUUCUGUGUGAAACAAAGGGCACAAGAUCCAAGAGACAAAUGUUAAUGUGUUCAUAUUUGUCGACCCUUUUCUGUGGGAGUGGCAGAUUCUUAGCAGUAAAUUGAAUGAAUAAACAUCCUGAGCUUAUUUUUUUGUUGACAAAGAGGAUCAUCUAUCUACAUACACACACAAAGAUCCUUAUAGUUAUCUGUCUUGGGAAAUAGCUGGAGGAAUCUUGGCCAUCAUCUUCUUUCCCAGAUAAUUAUGUAAACUAGGGGCACGGAAAAGUGGCUAUCUUCAAAAUACAUUUUCAUACAGUUUAUACACUUUUAUACUUUUAAAAAUAGACACAGUACAUAAAUGAUACAAGUUACACGUAAAUCAUCAAGUUGAUACAUUGUAUUAAAGGGUUAGAUUUAAUAGAGUGUGUAGAGUACAGCUGCUGCUGGGCCCAUUCUGGAACCUCUCUAGCGGCUUUGACAUUACACAAUUCUGGAGUCGUAUAAGAUAUUAAAUAAUAAAAUAUGCUUGGAGUCUCUUGAUGUUCUAUAAAUAUUUUUGGGGGGGGGGUGUUGUGGCCCAAUAACAGAAAUAAACCUCAAUGACACCUACUGACACAUGCAGUGAGAUUUUCAGUUUCUUCUGGGUUUUAAUUAUUCAUGAGCUUUUUCUAUAAUGUGGAGAAUCUCAAGCUAUGCCUUAGAGGUUUUUUGAAAAAAAGAAAAUAAUUCUUUACAUGAGAACCUUAUGAGAUUUUGCAUUUGGCAACCUGAUCAGUAAUAAGUCAGGUGUGAGAAAUUGGUCACAACUAUUCAUUAUCUGUAUGGUGUUAAAAUGAUUUAUAAUUAUUAUGGAAAAGUUGUCAAGAUAUUUUAUAGAUGAAACAUUAGACCAAAAAUAUUUUAUUUAAGGUGGUAUUUCCUUCAAUGAUGAAACAAAUACUAGAAUAAAUAAAUGCAGAAUUGGAUGGUUAAAAUACAUACAGUUUUAAAAGGGUAGAUUCAUCUGGAUAUUUUAGUUGUCAUCUUUUAUUAUGAGCUUUAUUGCUGUGAUGUUAUAAUUUAUAUGGAAGCAAGAAGUUUAUCUAAGCACUAGUUCCAUAUCAUUCUUUUCCCUUUCCUUUGUUGCAUUAUUUCAGGGGUCCUCAAACUUUUAAAGCAGAGGGCCAGUCCACAAUCCUUCAGACUGUGGAGGGGCUGAAUUAUUAUUUGGAAAAAAAAACCGGACAAAUUCCUAUGCACACUGCACAUGUCAUAUUUGUAGUGCAAAACAACAACAAUGAAAGAACAAUACAAUAUUUAAAAAUGAAAACAAUUGUAAACAGCAUAAACCUAUCAGGAUUUCAAUGAGAAGUGAUGGGCCUGCUUUUGGCCAAUGAGAUAGUCAAGUGAAUUAGGAUUGUUGAUGUUGUGUGUCUUCAAGUCAUUUCAGACUUUGGGUGAGCCUAAAAUUAUUUAUUCAUUUACUACAUUUAUUUAUUACAUUUAUAUCCCACCCUUCUCACCCUGAAGGGGACUCAGAGCAGCUGUAUGUACAUAUAAUAUAUUAUAUUAUUAGCAUAGCACAAUAUUAGCAUUAUAUAUUACUAUAUUGAACGAUACCACUAUACUGUAAUAUUAUAUGUAAUAUAUAACAUAUAAUUAAUAUUAUUAUAUGGUAUUAGUAUUCUAUUGUAUAACAUUAUAAUUUUAUUAUCAAUAUUAUAUCUAAAUACAAUAUAUUAUUUAAAUGAUAUAAAAAUAUCUAUACAGUAGAGUCUCACUUAUCCAAGCCUCGCUUAUCCAAGCCUCUGGAUAAUCCAAGCCAUUUUUGUAGUCAAUGUUUUCAAUAUAUCGUGAUAUUUUGGUGCUAAAUUCGUAAAUACAGUAAUUACAACAUAACAUUACUGUGUAUUGAACUGCUUGUUCUAUCAAAUUUGUUGUAAAACAUAAUGUUUUGGUGCUUAAUUUGUAAAAUCAUAACCUAAUUUGAUGUUUAAUAGGCUUUUCCUUAAUCCCUCCUUAUUGUCCAAGAUAUUCACUUAUCCAAGCUUCUGCUGGCCCGUUUAGCUUGGAUAAGUGAGACUCUACUGUAUAUAUAAAAGAGUGAUGGCAUCACGGCGAUCCACAAAACAACAAAACUACAGGCCCCCCAACCUCGAAAUUUGACAACACAACCCAUCAUCCACGGCUCUAGGUUGAUACAACAAAAAGAAAAGAAAAAUAAAGUCCUAAUUAGAGAGAGAGGAAUAAUUGCUUUUAUCCAAUUGCUGCCAGUUAGAAGGCUAAGCUCCUCCAACUUGAUCUCCUAGCAACCCAAUAAAAAAUAAUAAAAAACACUAAAAAAUAAUUUAAAACACUAAAAAAUUAAUACAUUAAAUACUAUAUUACCGGAAAUGA